UACGGAGGGGGCUAGCGUUGUUCGGAAUUACUGGGCGUAAAGCGCACGUAGGCGGCUUUGCAAGUUAGAGGUGAAAGCCCGGGGCUCAACUCCGGAAUUGCCUUUAAAACUGCAUCGCUAGAAUUGUGGAGAGGUAAGUGGAAUUCCGAGUGUAGAGGUGAAAUUCGUAGAUAUUCGGAAGAACACCAGUGGCGAAGGCGACUCACUGGCCCGUUACUGACGCUGAGGCGCGAAAGCGUGGGGAGCAAACAGG
Molecule: ribosomal RNA, 253 nt
Filed under: uncultured bacterium
Lineage: Bacteria
Description: partial 16S ribosomal RNA
Rfam family: Bacterial small subunit ribosomal RNA
Source: RNAcentral